GACGAACGCUGGCGGCGUGCUUAACACAUGCAAGUCGAGCGGUAAGGCCCUUUCGGGGGUACACGAGCGGCGAACGGGUGAGUAACACGUGGGUGACCUGCCCUCAGCUCUGGGAUAAGCCUGGGAAACCGGGUCUAAUACUGGAUAUGACUCCAUGACGCAUGUUGUGGGGUGGAAAGCCUUGUGCGGCUGAGGAUGGGCCCGCGGCCUAUCAGCUUGUUGGUGGGGUGANGGCCUACCAAGGCGACGACGGGUAGCCGGCCUGAGAGGGCGACCGGCCACACUGGGGACUGAGACACGGCCCAGACUCCUACGGGAGGCAGCAGUGGGGAAUCUUGCGCAAUGGGCGAAAGCCUGACGCAGCGACGCCGCGUGAGGGAUGACGGCCUGG
This 391-nucleotide ribosomal RNA is filed under the name uncultured bacterium. RNAcentral describes it as "bacterial SSU rRNA". It matches the Rfam family "Bacterial small subunit ribosomal RNA", at positions 28 to 419 of the family's 1533-position model. The record is from RNAcentral.